This 497-nucleotide ribosomal RNA is filed under the name uncultured bacterium. RNAcentral describes it as "partial 16S ribosomal RNA". It matches the Rfam family "Bacterial small subunit ribosomal RNA", at positions 28 to 507 of the family's 1533-position model. The record is from RNAcentral.
GACGAACGCUGGCGGCGUGCCUAAUACAUGCAAGUAGAACGCUGAAGAGAGGAGCUUGCUCUUCUUGGAUGAGUUGCGAACGGGUGAGUAACGCGUAGGUAACCUGCCUUGUAGCGGGGGAUAACUAUUGGAAACGAUAGCUAAUACCGCAUAACAAUGGAUGACACAUGUCAUUUAUUUGAAAGGGGCAAUUGCUCCACUACAAGAUGGACCUGCGGUGUAUUAGCUAGUAGGUGAGGUAACGGCGCACCUAGGCGACGAUCCAUAGCCGACCUGAGAGGGUGCUCGGCCACACUGGGACUGAGACACGGCCCAGACUCCUACGGGAGGCAGCAGUAGGGAAUCUUCGGCAAUGGGUGCAACCCUGACCGAGCAACGCCGCGUGAGUGCAGAAGGUUUUCGGAUCGUAAAGCUCUGUUGUAAGUCAAGAACGAGUGUGAGAGUGGAAAGUUCACACUGUGACGGUAGCUUACCAGAAAGGGACGGCUAACUACGUG